GUCUAGAGGCUUCGGCAAUGGGCGAAAGCCUGACCGAGCGACGCCGCGUGCGUGAUGAAGCCCUUCGGGGUGUAAAGCGCUGUCAGUAGGGAAGAAAGCCCGGGAGGGGACCUUCUCGGGCCUGACGGUACCUGCAGAGGAAGCGCCGGCCAACUCCGUGCCAGCAGCCGCGGUAAGACGGAGGGCGCAAGCGUUGUUCGGAUUUAUUGGGCGUAAAGGGCGCGUAGGCGGGCGAGCAAGUCCGGUGUGAAAUCUUCAUCGCUCAACGGGAAGAGGCCAUUGGAAACUGCUCGUCUUGAGGCCGUUAGAGGGAACCGGAAUUCCUGGUGUAGCGGUGGAAUGCGUAGAUAUCAGGAAGAACACCGAUUGCGAAGGCGGGUUCCUGGGGCGGUCCUGACGCUGAGGCGCGACAGCCAGGGGAGCAAACGGGAUUAGAAACCCGUGUAGUCC
This 450-nucleotide ribosomal RNA is filed under the name uncultured bacterium. RNAcentral describes it as "bacterial SSU rRNA". It matches the Rfam family "Bacterial small subunit ribosomal RNA", at positions 354 to 796 of the family's 1533-position model. The record is from RNAcentral.